ACGUGCAAAUAGGGAAUUACAUUUUAGGGACAACGUCCCUUAUUUACACGUACCAGAUUUCCCGCUGUCAGUUUGUGACGCAAUACAAUAGGUUACUAUUUACAUAUUUAAAACGUCUUUGGGUGGAUGAUUCUAAUCAAACAUGUUAUGUUUGGAGCAGAGUGGAUAAUGGUCUCAUUCACUAAGCAUGCGUACACACAAAUGUGUGUGUAAAACCGACACAGGAACAUUCAAGGUCAAUGACUAACAAAAUAUGAUGUUCACCUUAUUAAGACUCUAGGAGGAGUUUGUUAAGUAUGACACCUGGAAAAAGAAAAGAUAAAAAGAACGUGCAGUGGACAUUGAAAAAAAUUGACUUCCCUGUGGGUUUAGUGCAUCGGUAAAAGAGAUUUCUUUCUUGGUAUUGAGACGAUAGACAAGUAAGUGGCACCGCAACCCGAUUGCGUAAGGAAAAUAGUAAAUGGUAGGUGAUAAAAUUAAUGCUGGCGAAUUAUUAUAGGAAUCGUUAUUUAUACAUAUGUGCCAUAUUUCCUGUUGCCAGCUGGUGGCGCUAUGACUCUAUCUGAAUAAUACCAUGUAAAGAAAAAAGUAGAUGAUAGGUGAUAAAAUGAAUGCAUGUGAAUUAUAGUGGGAUUUGUAAUAUAUUUAUAAGUGCCAUUUUCCUGUUGCCAGCUGGUGGCGCUACGACUCUAUCUGAAUAAAGAAAAAAGUAAAUACUAGAUGAUAAAAUUAAUGCAGGUAGCUAAAAGCAGGAUUUGUUAUUUAUUUAUUAAAGUUAUUUAUAUAUUAGUGCCAUAUUUCCGGUUGCCAGCUUUCCUGUUCCCAGCUGGUGACACUAUGACUAUAAUUGAAUACUGACAUGGAUAUGUACAAUGGCUUAAUAUGACGCUGACCUGUUUGAGUUUCUAUGAGCAGUUAAAAACAGUUUAAAACAUGCCAUUUCCAUUUUCCUGCAGGUGGCUCUAAAACUCUAUCUGAAUAUUACCAUAUAAAUAAAAAUGUAUAUUAUAUGUUAUAAAAUUAAUGCAGGUGAAUUAUAGUAGGAUUUGUUAUUUAUUUAUACCUGCCAUAUUUCCUGUUGGCAGCUGGUGGCGCUAUUACCAUAAGUCCAACUGACAUGGAUGUCUAAACUGGCCAAAUAUGAUGCUGACCUGUUUGUGUUUCUAUGAGUAGUUACAAACAGUUUAAAAAAUGACAUUUCCUGUUGCCAGCUGGUUGCGCUAUGACUCUAUCUGAAUAUUACCAUGUAAAGCAAAAAGUAAAUGAUAGUUGAUCAAAAUAAUGCAGGCGAAUUAUACUCAGGAUAUGAAGUCUGGGGCCUGUUGGACAUUCUAUGCCCGAGAAACAACAACUUGCUGUUCAUGGCGAAGGCUUAACUUUAGCAGGCCGCCAGGGUCACGUUUCCUUAGGAAAAGUCAGGAUCUCUGCAAUUUAGCUUUGCAGAGGCCUUAAGAUGAAAAUGACACAAAUAUGAUGUUGAUCAGAUUAAAUCUCUCGGAGGAGUUUGUUCAAAUACGAUGUGUUGAAAUUGAAACAAAUUACAAAAUUCAACAGGAAAUAAAAAAUAACGGACAUCCUGUUUGGUCUAGAGAUAUGCCCUUAGAGACUUUUCUUAAUGAUUCGGGGUGUUACAUGAGCCUACCAAUUUUGGUGCAUGUACGUAUUGCGUAGAGGUCUGGGCAAUUCCAGGUGUCUAAGUUUUGCAAGGUCUGAUGUGCGUAAAAUUUAUUGUGAGUUUUCGAGCAUGUUUAGGCUGUCUAAAUUGCAAUCAAAGCGAGAUAGGAAUAAUAAUAAUAAUAAUAAUCAACACAGAAAAAAGAGGGCUAUGCACUGCAGAGCAAGCCGGUGGCUUGCUUUUUCAUGAUCGGGCCCUAAUUAGUUAAGCUUGUCAUGAAGACGACAGGUUUAUCUUUCUGCAGCCUGUUAAGUUUAAAACAUAUAUUUUUUUGUGUGAUUUAUGUUUAAUGUUGACCUUAUGUUGAGAAGUAAUUUUACGUUGCUAUGGACACAGUUCCAACCAUAGAUUGUUAGAAAAAACUCUGACGGGGGUCACUAUUGUGAAAAUAUCCUCACCAAUGCAAAGGUGAUGAUCGAGACCACCAUCCAGCUCCCAGAAGUGAACGCUGCAACAGUCACACAAUGCUCUGCCUCCUGGAAGGCUUGAACAGGUGGAAUCAAGAUCGGGCGACUGCAGCAGUGACCAGCAAACAGCAUCUCUCCUAACUUACUCCGGGGAUAUGGCCCACUGUGUUAACACCAACAGCUUAAAGGUGUUUGGCCGUGCUUUUGUGCCAACUUUCAGGUCACCUGCCAAAUACACUGGUAUGUUUUAUCUUUUCUAGCAACCUUAUACUUUUGGUUCGUGGGUUUCUAUGAGAAUCUGGAUUUCGUCCUGUCCUCUACAAAUAUUGCAUCUGUGUUUAAUACAAAGUUCAUAUAUCAUAUUUAUUAAUUCGUAUUCAUUCCUAUUAGUAUUAGCUUCUAUUCAUAUAAGAUGUGCCUUACUUUCUUGUUGUGUAACCUCGUUUAAAGUUGUAUCGUAUCUUAUGCUGUCUUAUGUUGAUAUAAGUAUCUGUUGUUCUCCAUCUCAAGGAUCCUAAUGAUGCCUAGGGACAAUUGUUUUGAUAUUGUAAUAUUAAAUACGUGAUCAUAUCUGAUUGUUCAGCAGGAGUAAGACUAAACAGAUAGUCUGGUGAUUUUCCACUCUGGUGGUUUUAUAUGACAUCUCCUGUUUCAAGCUUAUAAAUAUUUGUCCUUAAAACAAUAAACAUUUGACUCUGAUUGAACAAG
Triplophysa dalaica is the source of this 2790-nucleotide long non-coding RNA. RefSeq lists it as uncharacterized. Lineage: Eukaryota; Metazoa; Chordata; Actinopteri; Cypriniformes; Nemacheilidae. The transcript is spliced from 2 exons. The record is from RefSeq and is a predicted model, not a curated record.